AGAGAGGUGACCGAGUGGUUGAAGGUGCUCGCCUGGAAAGUGAGUGUACCUCAAAAAGGUACCGGGGGUUCGAAUCCCUUCCUCUCUG
Molecule: transfer RNA, 88 nt
Filed under: Bacteroidota bacterium
Lineage: Bacteria; Pseudomonadati; Bacteroidota
Description: tRNA-Ser
Rfam family: tRNA
About the family: Transfer RNA (tRNA) molecules are approximately 80 nucleotides in length.
Source: RNAcentral